This 1164-nucleotide ribosomal RNA is filed under the name Triticum aestivum (bread wheat). RNAcentral's name for it is "partial small subunit ribosomal RNA". Lineage: Eukaryota; Viridiplantae; Streptophyta; Magnoliopsida; Poales; Poaceae. The record is from RNAcentral.
UGGCUUUGGGGCCGAUGCUUUAAAUGCCUGGAUGUGGGGCACCAAAAAGCUUCUUGCUCCAGUGAGAUUCGCUGCCAUAAGUGCUGGAUCUCGGGGCAUCUCGCCCGUGACUGCUCAUUCUUCCCUAGCUCGGCGCAGCUCUCCUCCCACACACAUCCCAGAUCCAAUCGGGACUCCUCUUCCAGGGCCUUGCUCGCUACGGUGGGAGGCCGGAGGCCAGCGGUCUCUCCGGAGGCCUUGGUCCAGUCUCUCGCCAGAAUCUGCGGCGUUGAAAGGAGGCAUGUUCGGGUCGAGGUCACAAACCCGGCGGACUUCUUCAUCACCUUCGCCUCCAAUGCGGACUGUGACAACGUCUUCUCGUUCUCCGGCAAGCUACGCUGCGCGGGUGCUCCUAUCUCGUUCCAGAGGUGGCAUAGGUGUGCCCAGGCCUCCAGUGGAAAGCUGGAUUUCUUCUGCAAGCUGGGGAUUGAGGGGAUGCCGGCUAGCGCCUGGGAGUGUGGGGCGAUUGGCCAGCUGAUCAACAAUCUGAAUGGCCAACUGGUGGAGAUUCUGCCGCCGGACGAUCGUUGCCAACUCGAGGUCACCGCCUGGAUGAGGAACCCCUCCGGCAUCCCCAAGAUCUAUGACAUGGAGAUCCCGGAACCGGUUGGCCAGCUAGACUCGUUCGACGAGGAGUUCCAAAUAUCACCGCCGCAUCCAGCGCCGCCAACGGAGAGGCCAACGCUGAUUCAUCCCCUCACCAUCCAUGUCUUGGAUGUGGUGGAGCGUACUGUCCCCUACCUCCAGUACAGGCCCGAUUUCGUGCCGGAAGACGACGAAGAUCUCACAAGGAGGCAUGAUUACUCCAGGAGCUGCUUCAGGGGCAGAAUAGAUGGCAUCGGCCGUGGAGGUCCCAACUGGGGCGGUGGUCGCCGCGUCAAUGGUGUGAUCCCGCCGGCGGGCGGCCAGGCGCUGUCCUGCCAUCCUCAGAGCUCUGGUUCCCAACACUCACCCGGGGAAGUCUCGGGCGUCAAGAUCGGAGGUAGGGCCAGUGGGGCGACUCUUCGCUCAGCUGCGACGGUGGUUGGCUCGAGGACGGCCGUCUCUACACCAAUUCUGCAGCACUCGACUGCACCCACGGCGGCGGGCUCGGGAGCUCUGGUCUCCACUCCAAUUUUAGAUUGA